UAAGUGGAUUGUAAAUUGUAUUUUAUUUUCUGGGGUGAAAUUUUGGGGAGGUUAGCCGUGUCACAUCCCUUGUGCGUUUUAGAAACUCUAGUUCUUACACAUUGAGGACAAUGUUUACCUCAAGUAAAAUUUUCAAAAAUUUUUCAAAAUGUCUUUGUUUGAAGCGAUCUAAAAAGCACAAGUAACUAAGUUAACGAGGGAUGACACAAUCCAUUUGGUAUUUUGUCAUGGUCAAGUUCAAGUUAAUUAGCAUGACAGGUAUUUAGCGGGUGGUUAUUUGGGAAUAAUCCGCCUAAGAAACUAACAUAUCAUGCAUGUCACAUACCAUACCCUUUGCACGUGAGGUUUUGAGCCACUUUCACAUCAUAGAUUUACAUAUACAUGUUUCUUUGUUU
This 395-nucleotide long non-coding RNA is filed under the name Helianthus annuus (common sunflower). RNAcentral describes it as "sRNA HanXRQr2_Chr15g0716711". The record is from RNAcentral. Lineage: Eukaryota; Viridiplantae; Streptophyta; Magnoliopsida; Asterales; Asteraceae.